Molecule: unclassified non-coding RNA, 1098 nt
Filed under: Hevea brasiliensis (rubber tree)
Lineage: Eukaryota; Viridiplantae; Streptophyta; Magnoliopsida; Malpighiales; Euphorbiaceae
Source: RNAcentral
GUUCUUCUUAGUUGAAAGCUUUGGCUAAAAGCUGUUCUUGGGUGCUUUGAAAUUUAUCGUAAAAGCUGCUUGUUUGGAAUGGUUAUGGCCACAAUAGGCCAAAAGCACCAUCAAAGAAGGCUUUGACUGCUUUUUGGCUGAAGCAUCCAACCAUGUGCUUGGGCAAAAAGUAGCAGCGAUGACAUCCUUAAACUGAUCCAUACAGAAGCAUUUUGUUUAACCGUACAUUGUUGGUUUACAUGCAUUUAAGGGAUACUGACGACUGUCUAUUGCUAGAGAGACAUUUUGAGAAUCCAAGAUAAUGCAAUUGCUUUAAUGAAACACAAAUGACUGGUUCAAGUAUAGGUCAUGUGAAUGUCUGUAAUGCCCACUGAAUGGAGUGUUUUUCUGAAGAAAUGGAAAGGCUUUCUUUCCUUCCACAUGGGCAAAAAGGCAGAGGCCAACAGAUAUUUACUUAUUUUAAAAUUUCUUCUACUUGGCAGAGAAGCUGUGGAUGGCUUUUCCUAGGAAGGACCAUAACACGAGCUAUUAUUUCAAGCUUGAAGAGUGCACUCCUAUUGUUAAACUCUAUUAUUAUUGUUGUUGUUAUCAUUACUAGUAUUACUACUAUUAGUAUAUUGGUAAUAGCAUUAGACUUGAAAAUUAUUGCUUUUUGAUUGUGACUGGACCAAGGAGUGAAGACUGUUUGAGGGUACUUCCUGUUAGGGGUCUUGGAAGUGAAGGCUGUUGCCCUGGUUAAACUAGGGUAGAUUCUACAUGCUACAUAUUUUUUCUUCUCCUCCCUCCCCCUUCUUCAUUUGCUUUCAUUUUUAUUUUAGUUCUGCGUGCUUGUAACUGCUAGGUAUUAAUGCUUUAUUUGUUGUACAGAGGCUCUUUUGUUCUAAAUUUUGGAGUUAGAUUAAUGCUUUAUCCUAAAUAAUGGCAACAAGAAAAGUGGAACUGCCUUUUUAAUUUAUUACUCAAAAUUUUAUAUUCUCUUUUCAUUAGGUGAUUAUAUUUCAAUUACUUUUGUUUUUGUGACUGUGAUCUUAAGUUUAAGGACGUCCAACAAUUAUAACCCGUACUAUUUUGCAGAAAGAAAAUGUCCAGCCUAGAGAA